Molecule: ribosomal RNA, 465 nt
Filed under: Trachypenaeus curvirostris
Lineage: Eukaryota; Metazoa; Arthropoda; Malacostraca; Decapoda; Penaeidae
Description: partial 16S ribosomal RNA
Rfam family: Bacterial large subunit ribosomal RNA
Source: RNAcentral
AGCCUGCCCACUGAUUAUAAUUGAAGGGCCGCGGUAUUUUGACCGUGCGAAGGUAGCAUAAUCAUUAGUCUUUUAAUUGAGGGCUUGUAUGAAUGGUUGGACAAAAAAUAAGCUGUCUCAAUUAUAAAAGUUGAAUUUAACUUUUAAGUGAAAAGGCUUAAAUAAUUUAGGGGGACGAUAAGACCCUAUAAAGCUUUACAAUUAUUUAAUUAAAUUAUAAAUUGUUAGUAUAAACUUAAUUUAAUUGAUGUUUGUUUCGUUGGGGCGACGAGAAUAUAAUUUAGUAACUGUUCUUUUAUAGUUUGCUACAAUAAUUUUUGGUAAAAAAUUGAUCCUUUAUUAAAGAUUAAAAGAUUAAGUUACUUUAGGGAUAACAGCGUAAUCUUCCUUGAAAGUUCAUAUCGACAGGAAGGGUUGCGACCUCGAUGUUGAAUUAAGAGUUCUUUAUGGCCAGCAGUUAUAAUG